GCCCGGCUGGCUCAGUCGGUAGAGCACGAGAUUCUCGGUCUCGGGGUAGUGAGUUCAAGCCCCACGCUGGGUG
Transfer RNA from Felis catus (domestic cat), 73 nucleotides. It matches the Rfam family "tRNA". From Rfam's summary of the family: Transfer RNA (tRNA) molecules are approximately 80 nucleotides in length. Their secondary structure includes four short double-helical elements and three loops (D, anti-codon, and T loops). Lineage: Eukaryota; Metazoa; Chordata; Mammalia; Carnivora; Felidae. The record is from Rfam.